GUAACACGUGGGCAACCUGCCCUGCAGAUCGGGAUAACUCCGGGAAACCGGUGCUAAUACCGAAUAGUUUGUUUCACCUCCUGGUGAAACACGGAAAGACGGUUUCGGCUGUCACUGCAGGAUGGGCCCGCGGCGCAUUAGCUAGUUGGUGGGGUAAUGGCCCACCAAGGCGACGAUGCGUAGCCGACCUGAGAGGGUGAUCGGCCACACUGGGACUGAGACACGGCCCAGACUCCUACGGGAGGCAGCAGUAGGGAAUCUUCCGCAAUGGACGAAAGUCUGACGGAGCAACGCCGCGUGAGUGACGAAGGUUUUCGGAUCGUAAAACUCUGUUGUGAGGGAAGAACAAGUACCAGCUAACUACUGGUACCUUGACGGUACCUCACCAGAAAGCCACGGCUAACUACGUGCCAGCAGCCGCGGUAAUACGUAGGUGGCAAGCGUUGUCCGGAAUUAUUGGGCGCAAAGCGCGCGCAGGCGGUCCCUUAAGUCUGAUGUGAAAGCCCACGGCUCAACCGUGGAGGGUCAUUGGAAACUGGGGGACUUGAGUGCAGAAGAGGAAAGUGGAAUUCCAUGUGUAGCGGUGAAAUGCGUAGAGAUGUGGAGGAACACCAGUGGCGAAGGCGACUUUCUGGUCUGUAACUGACGCUGAGGCG
Molecule: ribosomal RNA, 656 nt
Filed under: uncultured bacterium
Lineage: Bacteria
Description: bacterial SSU rRNA
Rfam family: Bacterial small subunit ribosomal RNA
Source: RNAcentral